Arvicanthis niloticus (Nile rat) is the source of this 656-nucleotide long non-coding RNA. RefSeq lists it as uncharacterized. The record is from RefSeq and is a predicted model, not a curated record. Lineage: Eukaryota; Metazoa; Chordata; Mammalia; Rodentia; Muridae.
UCCUGCUGUCCCUGGCAGCAUGGUGAGGGAGGACAGAAAAGCUGAUUUCGUUCCCUUAUCUAUCCUGGGAGGCUCAGAGAGCAAGAUCAACCUUCCAGAGCGGCAUCAUGCCGGGCAGCGUGCUGGGCUGCAGGAGUCAGCAGGGUUAUUCCACAAAGUUUCAAUUUGCCCAAAAGAAUUACCUGGGAAGAUAAGAUGGGCAAAUGUGUAAUUGUAGCAAAAGAAAGAAGACAGUAACUGAAGUAUAAUGCUACCUGGGAGCCAGAUGUCAAGGACCUACUACAGUGGACUUGAAGCAGUUCAGGUUGUACAUAGCUUGGUAUAUGUUAUCAAAAGAGAAAAAAAAUUGAAUAAACUUGAUGCUUACAUAAUUCACACUGGCUUCUCCCAAAAGUAGAAUGAGCAUUUUGGAGAAAAACAGCUAUUUCAUAUUCUAAACCAAAGGUUAAUUUCUCUUGAAGGAAAAAUGCAGCAGUGUUUGCCAGCUCUCCUCAACACAUAGCCAUUUGAUGACAACAAGACCUCAUCACCCACUGAAGAUUACUGGUGCACAGAAAACACAAUUGUGCCCUAUAUAUUCCUAUUAUCCAGGAUAAUUUUGUUGAUUUUUACUUUCUAUACAAUGUAGUCAAAAUAAAGACCAUUUAAUUGUCCAA